Molecule: long non-coding RNA, 213 nt
Filed under: Lathyrus oleraceus (garden pea)
Lineage: Eukaryota; Viridiplantae; Streptophyta; Magnoliopsida; Fabales; Fabaceae
Description: Pisum sativum (pea) long non-coding RNA (PSAT_LNC004680)
Source: RNAcentral
AUUCAUCGUGGAAACAAAUGCUAUGUUGAUGACAUGAUAGCAAAGUCCCAGGCAGAAGAGGGGCAUCUGGUGGAUCCGGGGCAAGUUGUUUGACCGGUUGAGACAACUCAGACUGAGGUUGAGUCCGAAUCAGUGCGCUUGUGGAGUGCUGUCUGGUAAGUCGCCGAGGCUUAUGGUGAGUGAAUAAGAGGAAUCGAGGUCGAUCCUGCUAAA